This 249-nucleotide ribosomal RNA is filed under the name uncultured bacterium. Its description in RNAcentral is "partial 16S ribosomal RNA". It matches the Rfam family "Bacterial small subunit ribosomal RNA", at positions 1243 to 1500 of the family's 1533-position model. The record is from RNAcentral.
AGGGAUGCUACCGGGCGACCGGAUGCGGAUCUCGAAAGCCUGUCCCAGUUCGGACUGGAGUCUGCAACCCGACUCCACGAAGUUGGAUUCGCUAGUAAUCGCGCAUCAGCCAUGGCGCGGUGAAUACGUUCCCGGGCCUUGUACACACCGCCCGUCAAGCCAUGGGAGCCGGGGGUGCCUGAAGGCCGUGACCGCGAGGAGCGGCCUAGGGUAAAACUGGUGACUGGGGCUAAGUCGUAACAAGGUAGC